This 1057-nucleotide long non-coding RNA is filed under the name Homo sapiens (human). Its description in RNAcentral is "long non-coding RNA NONHSAT210059.1". The record is from RNAcentral. Lineage: Eukaryota; Metazoa; Chordata; Mammalia; Primates; Hominidae.
ACAGGCCCUCCGACGGUGGCUCCGUGCCCUCAAAAGAAGGACGUUGGGGAGCACGAGGGGGUGGCUCGAGGCGGGAGCGAGGGGCAGGAAGAAAUAGCAGGAAGACCCAGGGGCAGGAGGCCGGUGUUCAAGCGUCGAGGAACGUUUCAUCCCUUCUGAAUCCCAGGCCUCGCUGGACCACGGACCCGCCAGGUUCUCCCGCAACUUGCGGAGCUCCUGGACCGGCCCUUCCCAGAGGCGCAGCGCUGAGUCCCAGGAGCAGGACCUGAACCAGGAAGGGGAGGGGCGAGCACAGUCCUGCCUCCUCCUCCCCGCACAGUGCUGGGGGAAUGACCCCCACUGCCUUCUUCUCCUCCCCCAACACUGCAGGGGGAAUGACCCCCACUGCCUCCUCCUCCCAACACACUGCAGGGGGAAUGACCCCCACUGUCUUCUCCUCCCAACACACUGCAGGGGGAAUGACCCCCACUGUCUUCUCCUCCCAACACACUGCAGGGGGAAUGACCCCCACUGCCUCCUCCUCCCAACACACUGCAGGGGGAAUGACCCCCACUGUCUUCUCCUCCCCCCACACUGCAGGGGGAAUGACCCCCACUGUCUUCUCCUCCCCCCACACUGCAGGGGGAAUGACCCCCACUGUCUUCUCCUCCCCACACACUGCAGGGGGAAUGACCCCCACUGCCUCCUCCUCCCAACACACUGCAGGGGUAAUGACCCCCACUGCCUCCUCCUUCCCCACACACUGCAGGGGGAAUGACCCCCACUGCCUUCUCCUCCCCCAACACUGCAGGGGGAAUGACCCCCACUGCCUCCUGCUCCCCACACACACACUGCAGGGGGAGUGACCCCCAUAUUUUAAUGCAGUGGUUUCUCUGGUCACUCACGGUCCAGCACUAGCACGCAGCAGUCGGGGAAAUGCUGUGGGUAUGAGACGGCCUGGAUUUUGAAGGCGCUGCAUGAAAAAGAAUGUAGAGAAUCUGAAUGCAUUUUAUGUAUAGAUUGCAUGUUGAAAUGAUGCUGUUGGGAUAUAUUAGGCAAAAUAAAAUAUAUCACAAUU